GACUGCGUCUGAGAAGGAAAGACUGAAAAACUCCGCUAUGUGACGUUUGGAAUCUGGGGGAAGAGGAAGGGAAAAAAAGAAAGAAGGAAUCAAAAGUCUUGUUUUUUUGUUGUGUGUGUUUUUUUGCUUGCUCCCUCCCUCCUGCCGAAGAAGAGAGAAAGGCCCUCCUCUCCCCCUCCUCCCCGUUGCUCUAGAGCAGAGCAACCCGGCUCCAAACCUCAUCUUCGCCAGGCAAACAAAGCAUCAUUUUUUAAUGACUCUCGGAAUACAUUUGGCGGCGCGCGCGCGCCCGGGCUGGCGCUCGUGCUCGCGGGGCUGCUUUGCCUCGCCCCGCUUGUCAUAAUGGUUGCUUCAAACGCUUUGGGAAGCCUGUGAUGUUCAAGGCCCGAGCCUCUCUCUCUAGCUCUCUCUCUCUAUCUCCCCCUCCCCACACACUUCUCUCUCUCUCUCUCUCGCCCGCUUGCUUUUUAUGUGUCACACUUGUCAAGGAAAAUAGAGCACCGCGCCUUUGUUUCGAGAUGGUACCUGAUCAAUAUCAUCAAUCCGUCUCCCUCCCUUUCUCUCUCUCUCUCUCUUGCACAAACACACACCCGGGCGCACGCUCCCCUCUUCUCUCCCUCUUCUCUCUCUCUCCCUCUCUCUCUCUCUACAGCUGUAUCCAUUUCCUCCUGGCAAAAAGGGACUUUAUGAAUAAAUGAUACUGAAAUGCUGAGGGUUCAGAUACUAAAUAAUGAAUUUCACCACCAAAAACACAACAACUUCUCCAAUCAUAAAAUACCGCUCCUUCCAUAUUGAUUGGGCUUUGGCGACUGGAUGCGAGUGCGAAGCCUCUCAUGCGCCAAGGUGCUGCUCACACCAAAAAUAAGAGACCAAACCAGGGGCUCGCCAGGGUUGGGAUGGAUAGGAUACCAUCCCAGUGGCUAGCAACGCCAGCGAGUCUCUCGCCCGCCUGUCGCUUUUUUUUUAUUUGUUUUGGUGGAAACUCCAAAUCAAAGUCGCAGCACUGCAGCCGGUCCUAAACUCCUUUUUUUAAAAGGAGCUGCCCCUUUUUUGGCAGGGGAUGGAGUCCUGCAAAAGCUUGCCUCUCUCCUUGGGAUGGGAACUUUGGCUCCUUGGGACCUGACCGCAGAAAUGAGUCAUGCCAUAAUAUGAAGACCUGGAGAUGAAUCAUUGAGGUGAAAAUGGAGAGUAUGGAAGUGAAGACACUGACUGGAACAUUGCUUCCUUUGAACAUGAAUGUGCAUCAAGCAUUAUCUCAAGUACAUUGUGAUGAGUCAUCCAAAGCCAGUGCUUCAUUUGAAAAUUUCCUCUGAGAGUUUAGGAGGUAAGACCAAGCAACAGACUGGAAUCAUGAUGAAUGUAGGCGUAUCCCAAAGUUAGCAAUAUGCCAUCAUUAAUGUCUUCAUUAACAGGUGGGAGCAGGUCCCCAGGCGUUGGAGGAGAUUUGCGGUAAUUUGGAGAAGAAGGGGAGACAAUCAAUUAGGAUUUCCCACCUUGAGUAAAGCGGGGAAGGAAGCAGUAGGUGAUUAAAAAAAAGACAUGAAGAAAUGUGCUAAGCUGGGAAAAUAGGAAGAGGGCGCUUUGGAGCACUGGAGGAAGAUGAAAUCGCCUGGAACAACCGGGAAGUGUCUCCUAUUAUGAUCAUUGAAUAUUAUUUUCUUUUGGGUCAGGGAGGGAAAGUGGGGGUAAGGAAUACAAUUCACAGACCUACAAAAAAUAUUGGCGUUUUGUUUUUUAGGCCUGUUUAUGUUGGAAAUAGCAACCUCCCAAGCCACUCACUAUUUGUUUUCUGAUAUAUAUAUGUAUUUGUUAACCUGUAUUCUAUGUGUAUGUUGAUUUGCCAGUUUGACUGACCUCUUUGGUGUGGGAGGGGUUAUAGACAUGUGAUUGUACUGAGCAUGUUCAGACUCAAGACUCCAUUUUGUAUUCACUAAGAGUGCGUUUGGUCUUCAAUGAAUUCAGGCGUAUGUGUCAUGUCCAGACCCCAUUGGAGGUGAAUGCAUGUUGCUGUUUAGAGACUUUAAUGGAUGCAUGUAUGUUUAUGGACUUCAGUGAGUACAACUAUACUAAAUUAUGGACUAUCGAUUAAGAAUGAUACCCUGUGUACUCAACACAGAGACGCUUCAUCCUAUCUAUAACUAAACUUUAAUACGAAAUGUGCCUGUAUGGUGAAUUAAUACAAGAUGUUUAUGAGUAAACAAGGUAUGUUAUUUUUCAAAGAAGACUUUGUUUUUGUUUUUUAAUCUCUUAGUGUAUAUUUUAAACCAAGAGGUUUCAAGGGAGUGUAUAUGUUUUGGGCAAUUACAACUGCAAUGUCAACUGCAAAGAAACAACCAUCCUUUGCUAACCAAAUAUAUUUUAGUAGUGGCAUGUCUUUGUCCUUGGCAGUUUAAAGACAUGGUUCUUCAGUUUAACAGCUGAGUUACCUGUGUGCCAUUACAUGAAUGCUUAUUAAUAUCACUAGUUCAAAGAGUUGAAUUCUAACAAGAUCAUGCUUUUCUCUACUAGUGGUUUUCAAAGGUGGUCUCCACAUAUUCAUUUACCAAAAGGAUAUGUGCCCAGAGACUGGGUGCAGUUAUUUUCCAAUAGUUUAGUGGGUUCUUUGGGGCAUUAAUUCAGAAAAUUGUAUCGGUUCUGGUUUCUUAGAUAGGGUUGUUCUUGUUUUCUAUGGGCGAGCAGAUGGCGACUGGUAGGUGGCAUAUGUUCUGUAUCGCAGAAACUGGAGCUGAGAAGGGGAAACUGGUGCCAUUCCUGAAAUCAGCAGAUCAAAUAUACCUAGAAACAGAGCACCAAAAUAUGCAUUGGCCAGUGAUGUAGUUAGGAUUUGGGGGCCUUUUCUGAUUCCUUGAAGGGGGAACCUUUUGACUUGUUGAACUAGGACCGGAUUCGGCGAGAAUGGAAGGAGAGAAGCCGAGAAGGAGGGAGGGGGGAAAGAAGAAAGGGAGGGGAAGAAAAUCAAUACCAAGCCCCGCAGUCGGGUCUGUCUAUUAUUCAUUUAUGACGGUCUAAUCUAAGUUGAAAGCAAUUUCAGAACAAGUGUUAAACAGACAUUCCACAAGUCUGAGGGGGACGCGGGAGCAAGGACAGGCUGGCGGUGGGGAUGGGGUGGGACUGGCCAAGGAGGAGGCACCGGAGGAAGCUGCCCUGGCCUGGAGGUGGGUCUCAACGCCCUUAACCCGGGGCAACGGGGCACCCGACUCUUUCAGGCCUCGGAGCAAAACUAGUACCAUUGACGGAGUGGCUCUGACUUCCGGGAGGCUUUGCAGGCUCCGGGUGAAGAGCCAGGGUUUGGUCACUGAGCCCAGAAAGAGGGCAGGAGCCUAUUUGAUCUGCACAGUCCCAGGGAGAGUUACUCCGAAUGCGCUCCUACUCUCACUAAGACCCCACUUACCCACUGAAUGCAGUUCCAAGCCAACUUCAAACUUUUUUUUUGUGUCAGGAGCAACCGGAGUUGCUUCUGGAGUGAGAGAAUUGGCCAUCUGCAAGGACGUUGCCUAGGGGACGCCCGGAUGUUUUGAUGUUUUACCAUCCUUGUGGGAGGCUUCUCUUAUGUCCCCGCAUGGACCUGGAGCUGAUAGAGGGAGCUCAUCCACACUCUCACCUGGUGGGAUUCGAACCUGGCAGCUUUCAGGUCAGCAACCCAACCUUCAAGUCAUGAGGCUUUUAUCCCCUAGGCCACCGGAGGCUCAACUUCAAACUGCGGGAUCCAGACACAACAAACACAAAAGAAAACCCUUAACACGCACCAGUGCUGUAUGGGUUGUGUCAUCACCAUUUGGGCCUCAAACUGGUUCCAGGACUAUGUGUUGGGGAAUCUGAGCUGUCAGGCUCAAAAAUAAUCCUCAGUUGGGGUGAUUCCAUCAUAAAUACAGCAGAGUACCAGAAGUAAACUUCAUCACACGCAGAAACUUAGGUUGUGGUGAGCUAGGAUAUGCUGGCUUAUCUAAGCAAUCAUGCAUGCAUUUCCAAUGUGGGAUGGUUUAUGUAGUUAGUUUUGUUUGUUGCUUAGUAACCUGAAGCCAAAGCUGCAUUCCAGAGUUGAUGGCACCAUUUUAGGGAAAUGGGAAAUGUGGGAAAUGGGAGUAUACUUCCUGGAGACUUACAGGAAGUAACAUAUACCUUUAGAAUUUGGGGCAUAAAAGGAGAUAAUUUAUUUUGUUCUCUUUGGCUUUCUUUGGCUUUUCAUGCUCUUCCUGCCAUGUCAUGCUGAUGUUACUUUUUUGUUAAGAGAUAUGUAGUAUCCUGAACUGUAUUCUUUUUGAACUAAUAUGUUUUUGCCUGUAUGACCAUCAUCAUGCGGGGACAUGAGAGAUGCCUCCCACAAGGAUGGUAAAACAUCAAAACAUCCGGGCAUCCCCUGGGCAACGUCCUUGCAGACGGCCAAUUCUCUCACUCCAGAAGCAACUCCGGUUGCUCCUGACACGAAAAAAACAAACAAACAAAAAACAAAAAAAAUCAUACAAGAUUGUGAGUAAACAUAUUUUUACCAUUUUACUUUUGAUGUCUCUGAUGCUUAUUUUAUGCACAUGACUCUUUAAAGGGAAAGGGAGGCUGGCUAUUUUUCUUUUCUCACCUCUGCUCACAUAAACCCCUAGUCUUCUGCGUUUUUGCUACUCUGCACCAAUAUCUAACCAUAUUGGUAUCAUAAUCUAACAGGUUAUGAAUAUAUUCCUAAUAGGAUAAGGUUUCAUUCUUCAGGACGGUUUAGGAGUGCAGUCAGAACUUUAAGUUCAAAAAUAUUUAUUGAAGUAAAAAAGAAAUACAUUCUUGAUAGAAAAGAUCUAGGAGCGAACUAAAGAGGUGAAAAAGUAACAUCCAUGAAACUACAUUUUGCCUAGAGAGGAAAAAUGUGCAUCCUCACAGGGAGAAAGGAAAGGCAGAAGAGACCCUUUACAAAAGGUGGAGACCACAUGGCCAACACAGGACGGUUUAAAUGGAAAAGGAAGUUCCUUCAUAGAAAUCCCAUUACUAAGUCAUCAAAGAGAAGGUGACAGUGCCUAGCAGUGAAGAAUAAAGACAAAGAGAAACGUGCAUAGGGAAGUGGGGGAAACACUUCCUCAGCUUGUCCCUGUCUCUAGACUAGCGACUCAUUGAGGACUGGAAACUUAAUGACGCAAGAAACUUGUGCAGCCCAGGGAUGAAACUCAACAGUUUGAAACUACAGUAAAUGGUCAGUGUAGAUGGGGACGGAGAGUAUUAAAAUCCUAAGGAUGAAGACAUGGACAGGCAUCCCCCUCCCUGCGCUUUUAGAACACAUCUACACCUCCAGAUAAAAUCCAGAUUAUCAUCUUUGAACUAGAUUAUAUGACAGGGUAGGCUCAUAUUAUCCAGUUCGAUUCAGAUAAUCUGGAUUUCAUCUGACAAGAUAGAAGGGGCCUAAGCCACCUUUGGAGGACAAGUGCCAGUAAAUUCCAACACAAGCAACUUUUAAAGAAACUAUUUCGAAUGGAAGCAAUAUCAGUUUGGAAAUAAUACACCACCGACCAUUCUCCCCAGCUUUGGUAGUUCUGUACUGACAGAGGAAUUCCAGACAUGAAUCAAUCAGGGCCAGCUAACACCUCCCAACAAAGGAUUCCCCCAGGCAGUAAGCAGCCAGACCUUGAAGCUGAAGGCCUAUUCAAUGCUAAUCAAGGUGGCCAAUUGCAACAUUAAAACCUGCCUUAAACAGACAAGAGUUCUUUCUACCACCCUGGACAUUCCGCAGAUUUAUAAACCCCACGUGACUAGUUUCCAGCACACCUCAUUACCUCUGAGGAUGCCUGCCAUAGAUGCAGGCGAAACGUCAGGAAAGAAUGCUUCUGGAACAUGGCCAUAAAGCCCGGAAAACUCGCAGCAACCCUAUAUAGUGCAAGUUCAUAUAAUCCAUCAUGCAUGGCAGUUUAUAACCAGCGUUUGCGUUUAGGAUCCAGUUACUGCGGUCUUGUGUGUAGUUAUUUCAGACUGGAUCCCAAUGAGUCUAACAAAUCUUACUUCCGAAUAGGUGAGGGCUACUUUAUUUUCUCUGAACCAUUUUGCUUGUUGAUCCUUAUGGGUAGCGCCUUCAUUUGUCUUAAGAAUGCAUACACGAAAGCUCCUUCUAUUUUCCCCCAACACUACACAGAAAAGGAUUACUUCUUAACCAUUUCUCAUUAAUAGUAGAUCUGGAAACAGCGCAAAGUUUUGAUAGUUACAUCUCAAACAUGCUUUCCCCCUAAUUAUCAACAGUAUUAUCAACACAAUGGAAAUCCUGCAGGGCUCCUUUUCUCGAGUAUUUGUCGAUGGUGACCUAUCACACAUUUGAAUUGGAUAGUGAAAAUAAAAGAUACGACUAGAUAUCCAUUUUAUGUGGUCAUUCCCGGUUACUCAGAAUCAUGAGAUCCGACAGAACCCGUGUAUAAAAUCGUCUCUCUUUUAAAAACAAAUCAAUUUAUUCAAAAAGUCAGAAGACAUUUCGAGUUCAUGACACAAGAAACAAAUCUAAUUUCGGUGAAAUAAUUGUACUUUUUUUUUAGAAUUUUUUUUAAAAAAAAAAUUUAAAGGAAAAAAAUAUUUAAAGUGCAAUCAUGUGCAUCUCUACUCAGAAAUAAGCCCCAUUUCGCACUUCAAGCAAAUGGAGAUAGGAUUGCAAACUCCUUUUGCAAUUUGUGGAUGGAGGUUUAAUUUUUUUAAAUCACAGCCUUUGAGGACUGUUAGUUUUAGUUUACCAAGCCUUUUGAGUCACAGCUUUGCGGCCAAAAUGAAACGAAAUGCGCUAAAAAGAGAAGUCACCAAAGAAGUAAAAAGAUCCCACCUUGGAAGCCAUGUUUCUUGGCGCAGUUUGGAAGCACCCCAAAGUCAGGUUCGCCUUGUGUUGUGGAAGGCUUUCAUGACCGGAAUCACUGGGUGGCUGUGGGUUUUCCGGGCUGUAUGGGCAUGUUCCAGAAGCAUUCUCUCCUGACGUUUCACCUGCAUCUAUGGCAGGUAUCCUCUGAGGUUGCGAGAUCUGUUGGAAACUAGUCAAGUGGGGUUUACAUAUCUGAGGAAUGUCCAGGGUGGGAGGAAAAACUCUUUUUUGUUUGAGAACACAGAAAUGCUGGACCACUUUAGCAACCACCACAUCAGACUGCACAGAGAAUCCAUUGAAAUUCACAAGCAUGUGGACAAUUUCAACAGAAAGGAGGAAACCAUGAAAAUGAACAAAAUCUGUCUACUAGUAUUAACAAGCUCUAAAAUCAGAACAGUAAAUAAAGAACAACAGUCAGAAAAUGGGAAUUCCACACGUGAAUCAAUCAGGGCCAGCUAACACCUCCCAACGCAGGAUUCCACCCAGGCAGGAAGCAGCCAGAAAUUGAAGCUGAAAUUCUAUUCUAAUCAAGGUGGCCAAUCAAAACAUUCACACCUGCUUCCAACAGACAAGAGUUUUUUCCCACCCUGGACCUUCCACAGAGAUAUAAACCCCAUUUGACUAGUUUCCAACACCUCACAACCUCUGAGGAUGCCUGCCAUAGAUGUGGGCGAAACGUCAGGAGAGAAUGCUUCUGCAACAUCCCGGAAAGCUUUCGACAACACAUUGCUUUACUCACUUUGGAAGCACCCCAAAGUCAGGUUCGCCUAUUUGAAUACUCUUCCAGUUCAAAUGAGCCCCAACAGCCACAGCCUCACAAUAUUUGCUCCCAAAUGAACUUCAUAGACCUAGUUCUGUUUCAGACCGAAGCUAGAAAGGUAUAUCUAUUUUCCUGGACAUUUUGGAGAACCUUUGUCCAGACUUAUUUUCGAAGAGAGAAAUCUGGGCGAAAACCACCCCCAAGAUCAGCUGAAAGCUCAUAUAAUGCAGUUUGAUCUACAUUAUACCGUUUACAUCAGUGGUUCCCAAUCUUUUUUGACCAGGGACCACUUGACCAGGGAACACUCUCCAACAUUAGUACCAAAAGGGUUACAAAUCGGUUUUUUGUCAGGUUGGUUAUUUGGGGUGCUGAUUCAGAAAAUUGCAUUGGAUAGACCACAUCAGCUUUAGUUUCUGAUACAGAACAUACGCCAUCCAGUAGUUACAUCUGCUUGACAGAAAACUGUAUUUAAUAAUCUAGAGCUGAUGUGGUCUAUCCAAUGCAACUUUCUAAAUCAGCACCCCAAAUAACCCCAGGAACAGACCUAAAAAUGAAGACACCAAGAAACAUUUUUGUUGGGUUGUGUUAUUAUCCGUAGUACUAAGACCAUAUUUUAGUUCUUGCGGACCAGGGGAACCACUGGUCUACAUUGACCGUAUAAUGCAGUUCCAACCGCAUUAUAUGGCAGUAUGGAUCCAGCCCAACUGCCGCUGGCCCCGGCCCCCUUCCCUCCCCUCCCCUUGAAGAGAAAGAACUGCUGGCGACCAACUCCACAGAACAACAUCCGGAGAGCUCCGGGUUUUUUUGUGAUUUUCAUAUUUAUUAACCAAAAAUAAAAAUAACUUGUCCAUUUAUGUUACAUCAGGUGCAAUAUAUAUAUCAGCCGAGAGAGCUACUCUAACUUGGUUCGCUUACAGAUAUUUUUGCGGAUGAUGAGUCGCAAUCCUAUCAGCAAACUUUUGCAAACAAAACACAAAGGGAAACAGAAAAUCCUCAAGAAAGAAACCAUAUUUUUAAGAGAUCCAUUUUCAUUUUUGGCCUUUUCCAAACCUGGGUUUUUUUUCUGCACUGACACCGAAGAAAGGUCAAGAAACACACUCGGCGAAUAUAUAGAGUUCAUUUUAUUCAGAGCAUCCACUUCCACAGAAGAGCUCUCUUAUCGUCAGGAGUUCUGAACCUUGCAGAAAAAUACAACUCUCGAUUUGUUAAAAAUUGUGGGUUGUUGUUUUUUUUGGUAGACUCUGUCUCUCAUUCUUCUCUCUCUCUUUUCCUUCUCUUUUCCUAAUUAAAUUUUUUUUUUAGCAGCUGUGUGUCGGGUAAAGGGGGGAGGAUGAGAAAAGGAAGCCCUUCGUAAAGAAACAACGAGGAAUCGUAAUCACUUGUUUCGUUUUGUUUUGUUUUCCCAGGUUUGUUUUAUUCGUACACAUCUCCCUGCUGUACUGUUUGGCAUACAGAGAUACUGCCGAUGGGGAUGAAAAGGUGGAGAGAAAAAGAAGCCCCAAAGACAUCCAAGAAGACCAAACCAAGGAGAAAGCUCAGCACACGGACAUGGAUCAGAUACAUCCAGGCAGACACUUGGGUGGCCUGUGGGCUCUUCCUUCCUAGCCAUGAUUUGCCCCUUCUGUGCAUUAAAGAAAAUAUUUACAAACAUCUUUUUUUCCUUUUUUUAAUCAGUUUUUUUGUUGUCGUCUCUGUUGGUUAAAAAAUCUAAAUACAAGCAACGUGAACAAGGACUUAGGUGUGUUUCUGUGUCUGUAUUUAUGUGUAUUUUCGUGUCUCUGUGCAUUAUGUGUGUUUUCGGUGUGUGUGUGGGGG
Molecule: long non-coding RNA, 9377 nt
Organism: Anolis carolinensis (green anole)
Lineage: Eukaryota; Metazoa; Chordata; Lepidosauria; Squamata; Anolidae
Exons: 3
Source: RefSeq, a predicted model, not a curated record